GCUCCUCGACCCCUGAACGAAGUGAGUCAGGCUCCUCGACCCCUGAACGAAGUGAGGCUCCUCGACAGCGGCGCCUUGCCCGGCAGCGAGGGCGCAGCUAAAGGCAUCUCCUGCAAGGUGCCCGGAUGAAACGGUUCCCUUGGCAAGCCUCGGCUAAACCUGCUACAGGGGCAGCACAGAAAGGACCCGGAGGGGUCGUUAGGUCAGUUGGGUGCUGGGGAGACGCCUGUGAAAUAAGGUAGGAAUCCUGUAGGCAUUGGCCAAGGCAUAGUAAAGAACUCGUAAGCAAGUACAAGUAAGGCCUGGAGAGUGAAGUGAGAAGAGUGCCCAGCUGCAGCCCUUUGCCUGCAGCAGGACGAAGGCUGUCACUCCUCUGGGCUGCCCCGGCCGUUCUCCUGCUGAGGAGGAGAGGCGAGAGCACCAAACUCUACCUUCAAAAUACCCCCAAACCACAUAAUACAAAUGGAGAUCUCUUGCAUGCAGAAGCUGAGCACUCUUCAUCUCUGUAACAACGGAGAAGUGAGCAGCCAGGAGAUCCGAGGGCAAAGGCCAAGGCAGCAGAGCCCCAGGAUGCUGCACAAGGAUGCUGCAGUGAUGAUGUUUGACACCUCAUGGAAGUAAAAGAGGUCUGGAGAGGUUUUCCUCCUCGUUCUUCUUCUCAGUGCUGCGGGGAGUGAAUGAAAAAGUGCUGUUGUCCAUGAGAAAGGCAGCCUUGUGAGGCAGGAAUCAGCAGGUCUUCAGGCACUUUAUCGUUUUGGAGUGAAGAUGAAGCCAUGAGGACACUGAAAUGAGCCAAAGGCUGUCCUGAACCUUCCUGUGCUCACGUGAUAACCUGCUCUCUGCAUCUCCACACAUGUAUUCCUCAGCACUUCACUUCCCCUGCAAACCCCACUGCUGUAUCACUGCUGUGUCUUGGCUUUGAGCUAUGCAGUUGUUUCGAUCUCACAUCUAGGGACACGAGGAGCACUAAUUAAACGUACCUGUGCCGUGAGAUUGACAAGCAUAACAGUUUUGACCACUAUCUAACAGGAUUUUUUUUUCUCUUACUGAAAAACUAAAGUAAUCUUUAAUUAAAAAUGCCACAAUUUGAAUAACUUUUGAUGGCACCGAGAUUAAAGAACAUUCUGUCUGGGAGCUCUCAUCACAAAGCCAUGAGACCAGCGUGCACUAAUAACACAGUCAAACGAAGAGCCUACAAAAGAGUUUAACAUUUGCCACUUGUUUGCUCAGUUUGCUCUGUGCUUGUGCAGAAAGAACAACUACAUACUUUGCAAAGGGCAGAAACAAAAGCAUCAGUCUCUGGCCAUUCGGGUGGUGCCCCUGCCCUUAAUGCACGUCAGUACUGCUGCCUAGCUCCUGGCAUGCAGGUGGACUCUAUCCCCUAAGUGACUCAUCAUGUUACAAAGUUUGUUUGCUCUAUGGUCCGUGAGCAGCAACGGCAAUAACAAAAUCCCCUCUGGUUGUCCAAAAACUUGAACAGUCCUGGAAUACAUCACCUUUGUGCUAGCUAAGUUACAGGCAGCUGAGCUGUGGAGUGGACGAGGAACAGGCACAGCAGUUGUCUCUCGGCUGGAUCCGUGUGAGAGACAUUUUUGCGUGGCCUGGGCCAAAAUGGCCCUGAAACGUCGUGAUUCAGUGACAGAGCUUGUCCCAGGGAACGUUUCUGGCUUUCCACAUGCAGAGGAUUAUCUGACCAAUUCUGAGGUCUGGAAGCCGCCACCGAUCCUCGCAGCCAGUGGCCAGUUUGUCCCCCUUCCAAGAGCCCGAGGCUUCGACUUGCUCUGCCCAGACUGCCCUGGGACAUACCCUCUCUGAGGGUACAGACAGCACAUGCCACUGCAGCACUGCUGGGCCUUCCAGGCCAGCAGGGAGCCUCCUUUGCUGCCGACUGCUUGGGGAGCUGGAAGAGCGUGAAGCAGGGACACCAGCCCUACGCCAGGUGCCUGCCAGCAGCGGGGCAGCGUUUGCCUCGCUGCCCAGGCUGCGCUGCUGUGGCUGGCACGGAGCACGGCACUCCUGGCUGGGGUCCAGCCGGCCCUGGGCGUGUGAGGCACAGACAGUGCCUGGCAGACUUGCAGGUAUUUUUCUUGAAUAAAAGGGAAGGUUUCCAUAGAAACUUCUCCUUUAUUUUAAACAGAUUUAAAAGAGGAAUUUAGCAAGCUAUAAAACCAAGCUUCCAGAGCCCAGUUGAAGCUGUUCCUCAUCGACUGCACUACAGCUGAACAUAAGAGCCUGCAGCCUGGAGCUGACAGCGACAGACAGGCUUCUGCCAGCUCCCUUGCUCCUUCUAUCAGUGCAUAACCUCUCUUAGGUGACAGUGGCAGUGACACACAGUUUCUAGCACCCUCCAUUUCAUGAAAGAACUUCCUUAGAGCAUCUCAUCUAAGGGCUCUUUGUGUGUUCAUGAAACCACAUUUCCUGGACUUGAAAUGCAGCGCAGACAUCAGCCUUAUUCUGCACAGCCCUCGCUGGAAAGUCAGCUUCACAGAAGAGCACAGCAGAUGCGAAAUGGCCUCCUCUGCUGCACUACAUUUCCCAGCACACCGAGGUGCAGGAGGCAGGGCUCAGACCUCUCUGCUGGCUGGAGGUGAGGCAGAUGGCAUCCCCUCCCUUGCAAGGGACUCCUGCAGCAGAAAAGGCAUCUGGAGGAGGCAGUUAAAUCGGCCUCUUGGACACGGGCAAAGGCAGUUUACAUCAGCAAAAGCAAACCAAGGUCCCGUUUGUCAGGCAGCCAGCUUUGCACCGGCUCCUUUUAAAGACACAUCCACUUGCCCUCCCCCUCAUAGUUCCUUGGGGCGCUUCUUUAAUAUUCACCAUGCAGUAAAAGUGGAGAUCUUAAAAACAGCCUUCUUUGGUUGUCUGUUUUUCCCUUUCUUAUUACUCUGUGAAGCUUUUAAUCGCCAUUUAGUCAAAAUGCAACCGAUGUACCCGUGAGGAGCAGGUGCAAAGCGUUCCGAGCUGUUUCAGAGCAGCGCUGCAAGCUGGCAGUGCGCUGUGCGCUCCUGCGGUGCCCUGCUGCUCUUCCGCUCCACCCUGCUCAAAGCGCUGCUCUCCUUGCCCGCUGCGCUCAAGUUUUCACUGAAGAGCAAGUCCCUGUGAUCGAGGGGAUGGACUAAUUCAUCAGGGGUAACAGCCACGGGCACGCAGCCCUUUGGUGACCCAGGAGACAGAUUGCUUCGCAUUUCUGUUUGGUUUUGUUUUUCAGUGGAAAAUAAAGCACAGCCAAACACAUGCUCCAUGAGAGAGGGUCAGCUUUUGAUCCUGGAGUGCCCCAAACGUUGGAGGUUAGCACAUUUUGCCCACACAGUGCUGGUUUGCAUUUGCUCUGCCAGAAGAGGACUCAGAGUCCUCAGGAGCAGCGCAGGAGGCUGGAAGAAUGCAUGGCACAACCUCUCGGCUGCAGAGAGCAGCAGGGAUGGGCUGCCUGUACAGACAGCCCUUUGCCACUUGGCACCACUGGGCUUCUGCUGCUUGCUUCGUCUUCUGAAAGAGCCCCUCUUCCACUCUCAGCAAGAAUAAAGUGAGAUACUAGUGUCAA
Pogoniulus pusillus (Red-fronted tinkerbird) is the source of this 3538-nucleotide long non-coding RNA. RefSeq lists it as uncharacterized. The record is from RefSeq and is a predicted model, not a curated record. NCBI's taxonomy places the organism in Eukaryota, Metazoa, Chordata, Aves, Piciformes, Lybiidae. The transcript has 3 exons.